This 95-nucleotide ribosomal RNA is filed under the name Echinostoma caproni. Lineage: Eukaryota; Metazoa; Platyhelminthes; Trematoda; Plagiorchiida; Echinostomatidae. The record is from RNAcentral.
GGUCGCGACCAUACCACGUUAGAAACACCGGUUCUCGUUUGAUCACCGAAGUUAAGCAACGUCGGGCCGGUUGGGAAUACCGGCUGUUGCGGCUG